GAAUAUGAGUAUGGGCUAUAUUUUGACUUUAUGCCCAGAAAUUAACUUUGCCCAUGUUUAUAUAGGUAUCCAAAGCAUCCAAAUGAACAGGAAAUAGCACCUCAGUACUUUUAGUUUAGUUGAUGAUACUGUUGUGGUUUGUGAGUGAUGAUAUUUGCAAAAUAGAAGCAUGAAGAUUGAACAGUUGCAAAUGUCCCAGAAGUGUUUUAUAAUUGGGACUGUGUGGACACGUGGGCAGCGUGGAGAAAUGGAUCAGCAUACAGUGCAGCAUUUUCCUAAAGCCACACUUGUGUUGGUAGCGCAGAGUCAAAAGUCAAUUUUGCUCCUAAGUGAGGUGGCUCUGAUUCAGAAGAAAGGCAGGAAUCAGCGUGUCAUCUUCUGGUAGUAGAUGUCUUUUUAAUGUCUUCCUUCUCUGGCUACAGCAGAGAUCGUGACAAAUUGAACUGACUUUUUUCAAGUCCUGUUCUUGCAAAGCAAUUAGAUUUUAACAUCUGCAUUAGCUCUUCCCUUGGCUUACCGUUCCAGAUUUCUACUUGAAGUCUUUAUUUCUCAGAUACUAGGCUGUGAUUGAUAAUUAAAUCGUUGCGAGUGCAGUAUGAGUCAUGUGAAACAGGGUCAGAAUACAUAAAUUGUAUCUGGAGAGCACAACAUUUACUCAAAGAGAACUAACACAGAAACAGCAGCAAAAAGCCCAUUGCAGUUAACCACACAAUUCACUUGCUCCCAGUAUACUGGCACAGACUUGGCAUGGACAGCACAGCAUCACCCCGCAAAGGCCCCUGGAACUGGAGUGUAUUGGAGACACGGCCAGCAUUGUUCCAAAAGCUCAGCUAUUUCUGAGCCUCUGACUGAACAGCAGAGUAGUUCAAUUUGCUGUGUCCCUGGAACAGCCUUUUGGCAGGAUGCAGUGUAUCCUUCCUUUCUCCCCAUUCCUGCAGCUUUUGCACCUGAGUCAGAAUUUAUGGGUUUGAAGUUUCUGCUCUCUGGACUGACUCCUUUUCCUCAUCUGAAAAGGGAAAUUGAGCAGUAAAUGUUUUCCUUUAGUUUGUGGAAUUUUCCUCUUAUAACCUGGCAAAUCCUGGUUUGAAUUUUAUGUUAAAGGAAAAUACUGCAGGUCAUCAUCUGUAACUGUUUCUUGAUUACUUGGUAAAUUAAUAACAGACACGCAACUCCAAGUUAGCUUACCCACAUGACUGAGCUAAGAAAAUAGAACAAGUGUUGAAUGUGUGACUUUAAGAUUUGGGGGAGGGAUAGAUAACCUAAGAAAUUUCCUAAAUUCAUGUGUGCUGAUUUGUGCAAAUGCAGUGCCAGCUGGAUACAACUUGAGAUGUACAGUUGCAAGUUUGGAUCCCAGCGUUUACAAGAAGUUCAUAAAAACGUCUUAACCUUAGCAAAGGACAGCUAUUAAAGAGCUCUUCUCUUGUCUUCUUGCAUAUUUACUGCAGCACUUCUCUGCCUGGAUUAAAGAAAAAACUGCAGCUUCCAAGCUUUUGAUUACAAAGUAACUUAGCACAAGUCAGUUAUUGCUGUGGUCCUCAAAAGCUUUAAAGCUUGCCAUGUACCAAAGCUCUAUUUAACACUGCACACCUAAUGAGAGUUAACACUGUAUUAUUAUUCAUCAUUUGUAAGCAAGUUAAUAAAAUCUUUGAUAUGUGAAUAUGUUUUCAUCUUAGAAGUUUUCCACAGUUCCUAACAUGGCUUAAGUUGCCCUAUUUUCACUUGAAUUAAGGCUUAAUCAGAAAGAUGUGCUCUUUGCCUUACAACCUUACCCUGCCUUACUGUGAGAUGGUGGUAAAGUUGGGGAUACCGCUAAUGGUAAAAAUAAGCAUUUGCCUUUAAGUCUGGCAAUUUUAAGGUAAAAUUUAAGCUUUGUAGAGACAGUACAAAGGACUAAAGCAAAAUAUUCAACUUGAACUAAUUAGAGUUACUAAAUCACUGUCUAUGUAUACCUUGGAUAUUAAGUGUAAUUUUGGUUUCUCUAAGCUUGGAAAAAACCUCCAAAAGCAUUAGGAAGCAGGAUUUAAAAAACAAACAAAACAAAAACACAUGAACCUAGAAACCUGCAAUAGCCAUAACAUUUGCAGAAAGCAAGGCAGUUUCCUGCUUAAAUGAAUUCCGAAGAUAACAUACAUGGAGACAGACUUGCCAGACUGAAUUCUUAGUUAAGCUAAGUACAACGGGCAUUGCAGAAGUUGUGUUUAUGCUGGCUUGGUGCAUGUUUGCAGAAGGCAGCUCUUCGUUUAGCUUUAAGCAGAAUUUCAAGCAGUCCUAAAACUUGGUUGGAAAGCACCAUUAUGUGUACAGUUGUUUCAAAGUAGUUCUUCCAGCCCAGCAUGUGCUCAUCAGUAAGAGGUACUUAGUUUUCUCAGGUUAGCAAGCUUUGACUUGGGAACUACAUUAAUUUGAAGGUCUGGCUUUGGUGACUAUUGGUGCUUGUUUGAUGCUAAAUUAUGAGAUAGACUAGUUUAAUUCUGUACAAAUUACACACACUGCAUCAAGCCUUGGGUAUGAGGCACUGGAAAAGGUUGCCCAGAGAUGUUGUGGAUGCCCCGUCCCUCGGAGUGUUCAAGGCCAGGUUAGGUGGGGCUCUGAGCAACCUGGUCUGACAGAAAGUGUCCCUGCCCAUGGCAGGGGAGUUGGAACAAGAUGGCCUUUAAAAUUCCUUCCAACCCAAAGCAUUCUAUAACUCUAUGUGCAGUUCUACUCACAGUUCAUGGGCUUUUUCAGGCCUCCAGCCGGUCAAGACUUAGGCUAUGUCUUCAUUAUAUCUGCAUUCUAUGUCUGCAGUAGGGGCAGAGCUGGAGAGCAAUAUGGUUGGUGCUGAGACCUUGACACCUCUGAAGUUUUUAUUUCAGCCUAGAAAUAAAAAAACACCUUUUCUAUUCCAGCCCAGACCCUGGUCUGGUCCAGUUGAAUACCCAAUAAACAGGAUGACUGCAGCUAGAGGCAUUCCAAGAGCUAUUUCUUGCUUGAGUUUUGCUGUAAAUGAAUCCAGUUUUGUGCACUGAGAACACUGCAUAAACAAGCCAAUCAUGACAAAUGGUCUGCUGGCUUGGAAAGCAUAGAAGAGCUCUUCGUUAAAUAUUAAAGUAACUAAAAACAAUGUUUUAUAUCCUCAGUGCAGUGUUCCUGCUGGUUUCCAUUUUCAAAGUGUUAAUUCACAGAACCCUUAAGGUCAGUCAGUACAUAUAAUAAUCUUGAAACAGUUAUUCUACGUUCUGCUCCCCCCUUUCUCCAGGUGCACAAGUCUUUUUGAUGUCAUAUCCAAGAGAGCCAUCACUAAAAUUAUUAUGGUUGCAUAGCAACCUCAAUGUGAUAAAUAACUGGUUUAAGACAGUCUUUACCUGUGUAUUUCUUUUCCAGCAGGAGCCGAACAGUUUCCUACCACUGAACUCUUAUGAACAAAACUCUUGAAGAAAAACAUAUGCAGUGUUUUAUGACUAAAGAGGUUUCUUUAUUCAAAUAUCUUGUUAUUUCUAGGCACUGUCACCAAAUUACUGCACCAAGUUAUCUUCAAGUAUGCAGUAUUCCAGCAUUGUAACUUCUCUGCAAACAGAACACCAAGCCCUAUCUUGUCUUCCCUGCUUGGAUCAUCAGUUAAAAGCACAACAGAAAUAUUCUAAGUAUGAAGGUAGAAAUGAACUAAUACUAGUAAUCCAGCUGUAAUUUCCAAAAGCAUUAUUUUUUUUAAUAUAGCCAGCUAAGUCUUCUCUACAGAAACAAAACUAAACAUGGACAAAACCAAGUUAUAUAUUCCCAGUUUAUUUUAUUUUUGUGGAAUGCUAAUUUAGUUACAAUCUGGCAGUUCAUAACUACUGAAAUGUGACAUUAAUUCAUAUCCAAUGUUGCAGAACUGUCUUGAUUUAUAUAGUUUUAAAACAAUCUUAUUUUACAAUAGUUGAGGUCUCUGGUGGUUUUUAAGCUCUGAUGCUUAAGCACACAGCAAGCUACAAACCUUAGGUUUUAUAUUUAUACAUAUAUUCUAUGUAUUCAGACAACUGCUGUAAGUUAUCUAUAAUUUAAUAUUUAUAAAAAGUGCAUAUACUGGUACAUAUGCACAUCUAGAAACACACUUUUACUACUGCCUCCCUUUUAUAAAAAGCUGCACAUCAUACAGCCAUAUUUAUCUCACUUACUGCUAUUAAAGUCCUUUACUAUCUUUGUUACACAAUUUCAACUAUCCAUUACCUCAAACUGAAUGUAGGUAUUUCUAUAUAUAUUUUUUCUCCUAAAGAAAAAAGUCCUCCCUAUUCCUUUAAGAAGCUUUAAAUCAUGCAUCAGUUUAGUAAACAGUCACUUUAGCAUGGAUUUUAGAAUCCUAGACAGUGUAAAAUCUACUUCUGGAAAACGUCUGUCUGUAUAUUUAAUUUCUU
Molecule: long non-coding RNA, 4373 nt
Organism: Pseudopipra pipra
Lineage: Eukaryota; Metazoa; Chordata; Aves; Passeriformes; Pipridae
Exons: 2
Source: RefSeq, a predicted model, not a curated record